Molecule: ribosomal RNA, 468 nt
Filed under: uncultured bacterium
Lineage: Bacteria
Description: partial 16S ribosomal RNA
Rfam family: Bacterial small subunit ribosomal RNA
Source: RNAcentral
GACGAACGCUGGCGGCGUGCUUAACACAUGCAAGUCGAACGGAAAGGCCCUGCUUUUGUGGGGUGCUCGAGUGGCGAACGGGUGAGUAACACGUGAGUAACCUGCCCUUGACUUUGGGAUAACUUCAGGAAACUGGGGCUAAUACCGGAUAGGAGCUCCUGCUGCAUGGUGGGGUUUGGAAAGUUUCGGCGGUUGGGGAUGGACUCGCGGCUUAUCAGCUGGUUGGUGGGGUAGUGGCUUACCAAGGCUUUGACGGGUAGCCGGCCUGAGAGGGUGACCGGCCACACUGGGACUGAGAGACGGCCCAGACUACUACGGGAGGCAGCAGUGGGGAAUAUUGCACAAUGGGCGGAAGCCUGAGGCAGCAACGCCGCGUGCGGGAUGACGGCCUUCGGGUUGUAAACCGCUUUCGCCUGUGACGAAGCGUGAGUGUCGGUAAUGGGUAAAGAAGCACCGGCUAACUACGUG